This is a long non-coding RNA of Bos taurus (domestic cattle), 1416 nucleotides long. The record is from Ensembl. NCBI's taxonomy places the organism in Eukaryota, Metazoa, Chordata, Mammalia, Artiodactyla, Bovidae.
GGGAAAGAUGAGCUUAAAGGACCUCUCUGGGUAACUCACCUUUAACGGCUUAAAGUUUGCUCUCCCUGAAGGGAGACAGGUAAGACACCUGGAGACCAAAAAUAAAGAGGUUUGCAGCCCCAAAGGGCAGAAAUGCACACAGAUUUUGACAUGGACCCCUGGCAGGCUAGAACCUUGGAGAAUGGCUGUCUGAGCGUGGGGUGUGUGGUGACCAGCGAGAGAGCUGGACAGCUCCUGGAGGCCCUGGCACCUGCGGGGGAACUGGACCUGCAGAGCUGCCCAUCCAACGUCAAGGUCAAUGUGGCACGCCUGCGCCAGGGAGAGAGCAAGCUCCAGAUCGCCUGCAGAGCUGUCCAUCCAACGUCAAGGUCAAUAUGGCACGCCUGCGCCAGGGAGAAAGCAAGCUCCAGAUCACCUGCAGAGCUGUCCAUCCAACGUCAAGGUCAAUAUGGCAUGCCUGCGCCAGGGAGAAAGCAAGCUCCAGAUCGCCUGCUUGCUGUGGGGGUUAGGGGACCUCUCCCCGCUGGGGUUGCUUCUGCCUGGGAGCUCAGGGGAACGCUCUGGAGAGGAAAGCUCCAUCAGCCAAGUACCAUGUUCCUUGUUCAUCAGCCCAAAGAAGGUAACGCAUUGAUGGCCUGAUUGUGUUUCUACCACGACUUGCAACCCAAGAUGCAGCCCAGCCUCUGAAAAGCCCAUUGUUCCGUGCAGCGAUGUUAUAACUCUCUGUAAACGGGGCAGUCCAGGGCACUCAGCGCUGCCCGCUCCACCCCAUUGGUGACCUGCAGGGACAGCUGAAUGCCUUCUGGUCCGCUGAGCCCAGAGGAGUGGGGCUGGGCUUUCAGAAACAGCAGGGCUGAUUCAUCGAGAACAAAAGCCAGCUCUUCCUGCUAAAUCCCUGGCCAUCAAGGGCGGCGAGGCCAGCAGGCCCCUGAGCCCCUCCGCAGAAACUCCUUCUUCAUCCGGCUACCGCUGUGGGGCUCCACAGCAGGAGAGCCAGCUUCCCACUGCCCCGUCCCUUCAGCCUGGCCUGCUCUCAGAACCCCCCGGGAAGCAGUGGCUUGGGAGUGAAAUCUGGAUUCUCGUCCUGGUCCUGCCAUUUCCCAGCGGUGCAAUGAAAAUAAGAAACUUCACUUCUCUGAGCCUCAGUUUCUCCAUCUGUGAACUGGGAGUGAAAAUAGUUCCAGCCGGAGGAACUGGUGUCAGAUUUGAAGGAGAUAAUGCCCAGAACAGGAACCUACGACUCUUUGUCCUCUUGCUAUCUGGCGUCAUCUUUCAUAACUCAGUCUGGUACCUUGCAUUCCAGACACGUGGGCACGAGCUCACCCAUCUUAGCUCCUCCACGUCAUUACCUGUAGGCUUCCCAGAACGAUACCAGCUUCUGUUUACAGAGGCCCUGCUAUGCCCCAGGCCUUGCAG